UGAGGAAUAUUGGUCAAUGGGCGCAAGCCUGAACCAGCCAUCCCGCGUGCAGGAAGACGGCCCUAUGGGUUGUAAACUGCUUUUCCAGGAAGAGAAACUUGCGUACGAGUUACGUAAUUGACGGUAUCCUGGGAAUAAGCAUCGGCUAACUCCGUGCCAGCAGCCGCGGUAAUACGGAGGAUGCGAGCGUUAUCCGGAUUCAUUGGGUUUAAAGGGUGCGUAGGCGGACUAUUAAGUCAGUGGUGAAAUCCUGCAGCUUAACUGCAGAACUGCCGUUGAUACUGAUAGUCUUGAGUUUGGUUAAGGUAGGCGGAAUGUGUAAUGUAGCGGUGAAAUGCUUAGAUAUUACACAGAACACCAAUUGCGUAGGCAGCUUACUGAGCCGACACUGACGCUGAGGCACGAAAGCGUGGGGAUCGAACA
This 423-nucleotide ribosomal RNA is filed under the name uncultured Bacteroidota bacterium. RNAcentral's name for it is "bacterial SSU rRNA". It matches the Rfam family "Bacterial small subunit ribosomal RNA", at positions 355 to 774 of the family's 1533-position model. Lineage: Bacteria; Pseudomonadati; Bacteroidota. The record is from RNAcentral.